CGAGCGUUAAUCGGAAUCACUGGGCNUAAGCGUGCGUAGGCGGACUUGUAGGCGCUUUGUGAAAUCCCUCGGCUCAACCGAGGAACUGCAGGGCGAACCCCAAGUCUCGAGACAGGUAGGGGUCGUCGGAACGCUAGGUGGAGUGGUGAAAUGCGUUGAUAUCUAGCGGAACGCCGAUGGAGAAGUCAGGCGACUGGGCCUGUUCUGACGCUGAGGCACGAAAGCGUGGGGAGCGAACGGGAUUAGAUACCCCGGUAGUCCACGCCGUAAACGAUGCGCACUAGGUUGGGGAAGUUCUGACACUGUUCCCGGCCGAAGCAAAAGUGUUAAGUGCGCCGCCUGGGGAGUACGGUCGCAAGGCUAAAACUCAAAGGAAUUGACGGGGGCUCACACAAGCGGUGGAGCAUGUGGCUUAAUUCGAAGCAACGCGAAGAACCUUAUCCUGGGUUUGACAUGUAUGGAUUAGCCCACUGAAAGGUGGGUGACGCCCUUGUGGUGGAACAUACACAGGUGCUGCAUGGCUGUCGUCAGCUCGUGCUGUGAAGUGUCGGGUUAAGUCCCUUAACGAGCGCAACCCCUGUCGCUAGUUGCUAGCAGGUAAUGCUGAGGACUCUAGCGAGACUGCCGGUGUUAAACCGGACGAAGGUGGGGAUGACGUCAAGUCCGCAUGGCCUUUAUGCCCAGGGCUGCACACGUGCUACAAUGGCAGGUACAGAACGAUGCAAUACCGCGAGGUGGAGCAAAUCGCGAAAGCCUGCCCCAGUUCGGAUUGGAGGCUGCAACUCGCCUCCAUGAAGUCGGAAUCGCUAGUAAUCGCGGAUCAGCAAUGCCGCGGUG
RNAcentral lists this ribosomal RNA (837 nucleotides) under uncultured bacterium. RNAcentral's name for it is "bacterial SSU rRNA". It matches the Rfam family "Bacterial small subunit ribosomal RNA", at positions 535 to 1364 of the family's 1533-position model. The record is from RNAcentral.